UACGGAGGGAGCUAGCGUUGUUCGGAAUUACUGGGCGUAAAGCGCACGUAGGCGGCUUUGUAAGUUAGAGGUGAAAGCCCGGAGCUCAACUCCGGAAUUGCCUUUAAGACUGCAUCGCUUGAAUCCAGGAGAGGUGAGUGGAAUUCCGCGUGUAGAGGUGAAAUUCGUAGAUAUUCGGAAGAACACCAGUGGCGAAGGCGGCUCACUGGACUGGUAUUGACGCUGAGGUGCGAAAGCGUGGGGAGCAAACAGG
RNAcentral lists this ribosomal RNA (253 nucleotides) under uncultured bacterium. RNAcentral describes it as "partial 16S ribosomal RNA". It matches the Rfam family "Bacterial small subunit ribosomal RNA", at positions 524 to 776 of the family's 1533-position model. The record is from RNAcentral.